GAGAGUUUGAUCCUGGCUCAGGAUGAACGGCUGGCGGCGUGCUUAACACAUGCAAGUCGAACGAAGCGCUACCGACGGAACUUUUCGGAGGGAAGAUGGUAAUGACUGAGUGGCGGACGGGUGAGUAACGCGUGGGUAACCUGCCUCACAGAGGGGGACAACAGCCGGAAACGGCUGCUAAUACCGCAUAACAAGGGAUUGCCGCAUGACGAUCCUUUCAAAGAUUUAUCGCUGUGAGAUGGACCCGCGUCUGAUUAGCUUGUUGGUGGGGUAACGGCCUACCAAGGCGACGAUCAGUAGCCGGCUUGAGAGGGUGAACGGCCACAUUGGGACUGAGACACGGCCCAGACUCCUACGGGAGGCAGCAGUGGGGAAUAUUGCACAAUGGGGGAAACCCUGAUGCAGCGACGCCGCGUGAGUGAAGAAGUAUUUCGGUAUGUAAAGCUCUAUCAGCAGGGAAGAUAAUGACGGUACCUGACUAAGAAGCCCCGGCUAACUACGUG
This 503-nucleotide ribosomal RNA is filed under the name uncultured Lachnospiraceae bacterium. RNAcentral's name for it is "bacterial SSU rRNA". It matches the Rfam family "Bacterial small subunit ribosomal RNA", at positions 7 to 507 of the family's 1533-position model. Lineage: Bacteria; Bacillati; Bacillota; Clostridia; Lachnospirales; Lachnospiraceae. The record is from RNAcentral.